Long non-coding RNA from Helianthus annuus (common sunflower), 899 nucleotides. RefSeq lists it as uncharacterized. Lineage: Eukaryota; Viridiplantae; Streptophyta; Magnoliopsida; Asterales; Asteraceae. The record is from RefSeq and is a predicted model, not a curated record. The transcript has 2 exons.
UCCUCUCUCAUCUCUCAUACUCUCUUUCUCAUUUCCCAGACCCUUUUCUCUCAUCUUCCUUUUACCUCUACACCCAAUGUCUUCCACAUCCAUCAGACACCAUAUUCAACCGUUGUCCCCAUCCCUAAAAUAUCUUCCCCGCUAGCAGACAUCCAACGAGUGGCUGGAAAGGUGGGUUUCUGUGACUUGCGACGACACCGGAGAAGGCUUUUUGAAGGUAGAUCAUUGAUGGGCGGCUAGGGUUUCGAAGACCGAUCUUUGACGUCACCAGAGAAGGAUUUUUACAUAGAUCUUUGACGGGUGGCUUGGGUUUCGAAGACCAAAGUAGGUGACCGGCGGCUAGGGUUUCGAAGACCCAGAUCUUUGUUGAAGUUCCUGCUGAGGUUGUAGUUUGUACACCCCGAUCGUCGCUUGUGGUAUAAGAUUGUAGUAUAACAGAGCUUUGUGGGCUAUGGCGACGCCGGUGUGUGGUUUGGAGUUCCUUGUCCUUACCGAUCAUCCUUCUUUCAUCCGGUGUGUGCUCUUUCAUCGUGUAACAGGUCUUUCACUAAUCGUCGUUGUUUCAUCAGAUUGUGGGUCAAAAGCAGUCAACGGUUUUGGUUUGGGCUCGGGUUUCGGCUCGACGCGGUGCAACUCGGGUCAAUUUCGGGUUUUGUUUUGGGUCGAAAGCAAUCAACGGACCCGGUUCGGGUCAGCAGCAGUCAAACAAGUCAAAGAUGGUCAACUGAGGACCGGUAAAGUUUAAUCGUAGUGAGUUAUUAUUACGUUAGUUUAGAUUUUAUUUAGUUAACGCGCACCGAGCUCGAACCGAUACUUUAGUGACUUGUUACGUUUGACAAUUUGAUAGAAAUUUUAUAUAUUGUGUUUAUAUUGUUGAAAACUGUUGAGUUUUGAAAAGA